UGUCACUGUUGCUGAGCCCCCAUCGCCU
RNAcentral lists this non-coding RNA (28 nucleotides) under Homo sapiens (human). Lineage: Eukaryota; Metazoa; Chordata; Mammalia; Primates; Hominidae. The record is from RNAcentral.